GGACCUUUUGCGCAAUGGUAGCGCAUCUGACUCCAGAUCAGAAGGUUGUGUUCAUCAACUUCUAGUAGCUCAGUGGUUCA
This is a non-coding RNA of Danio rerio (zebrafish), 80 nucleotides long. Lineage: Eukaryota; Metazoa; Chordata; Actinopteri; Cypriniformes; Danionidae. The record is from Rfam.